AUACGGAGGACGCGAGCGUUAUCCGGAUUCAUUGGGUUUAAAGGGUGCGCAGGCGGCCGUGCAAGUCAGCGGUGAAAGCCCGGGGCCCAACCCCGGAAGUGCCGUUGAUACUGCAUGGCUUGAAUGCGGUCGAGGCGGGCGGAACGGGGGGUGUAGGGGUGAAAUGCGUAGAUAUUCCACAGAACGCCGAUAGCGGAGGCAGCUCGCCAAGCCAGGAUUGACGCUCGGGCACGAAAGCGUGGGGAUCGAACAGGAUUAGAUACCCUGGUAGUCCACGCCGUAAACGAUGGGCGUUCGUCGUCGGCGGCAGACAGUCGGCGGCCAAGCGAAAGCGAUAAGCGCCCCACCUGGGGAGUACGGUCGCAAGGCUGAAACUCAAAUGAAUUGACGGGG
Molecule: ribosomal RNA, 393 nt
Filed under: uncultured bacterium
Lineage: Bacteria
Description: partial 16S ribosomal RNA
Rfam family: Bacterial small subunit ribosomal RNA
Source: RNAcentral